GAUGAACGCUGGCGGCGUGCCUAAUACAUGCAAGUCGAACGCAUUGUGGUUUGAAAUGAUAUGAAGAACUUGUUCAGAUUUGAUUUUCAACAUUGCAAUGAGUGGCGAACGGGUGAGUAACACGUGGGAAACCUACCUCUUAGCAGGGGAUAACAUUUGGAAACAAAUGCUAAUACCGUAUAAUAAUUAAAAACCGCAUGGUUUUAGUUUAAAAGAUGGUCUUGCUAUCACUAAGAGAUGGUCCCGCGGUGUAUUAGUUAGUUGGUGAGGUAAUGGCUCACCAAGACAAUGAUACAUAGCCGAGUUGAGAGACUGACCGGCCACAAUGGGACUGAGACACGGCCCAUACUCCUACGGGAGGCAGCAGUAGGGAAUCUUCCACAAUGGACG
This 390-nucleotide ribosomal RNA is filed under the name uncultured bacterium. RNAcentral's name for it is "bacterial SSU rRNA". It matches the Rfam family "Bacterial small subunit ribosomal RNA", at positions 28 to 377 of the family's 1533-position model. The record is from RNAcentral.